Molecule: ribosomal RNA, 493 nt
Filed under: uncultured bacterium
Lineage: Bacteria
Description: partial 16S ribosomal RNA
Rfam family: Bacterial small subunit ribosomal RNA
Source: RNAcentral
GAGUGAACGCUGGCGGUAGGCCUAACACAUGCAAGUCGAACGGCAGCACAGUAAGAGCUUGCUCUUACGGGUGGCGAGUGGCGGACGGGUGAGGAAUACAUCGGAAUCUACUUUUUCGUGGGGGAUAAGGUAGGGAAACUUACGCUAAUACCGCAUACGACCUACGGGUGAAAGCAGGGGAUCUUCGGACCUUGCGCGAUUGAAUGAGCCGAUGUCGGAUUAGCUAGUUGGCGGGGUAAAGGCCCACCAAGGCGACGAUCCGUAGCUGGUCUGAGAGGAUGAUCAGCCACACUGGAACUGAGACACGGUCCAGACUCCUACGGGAGGCAGCAGUGGGGAAUAUUGGACAAUGGGCGCAAGCCUGAUCCAGCCAUACCGCGUGGGUGAAGAAGGCCUUCGGGUUGUAAAGCCCUUUUGUUGGGAAAGAAAAGCAGCAGGUUAAUACCCCGCUGUUCUGACGGUACCCAAAGAAUAAGCACCGGCUAACUUCGUG